RNAcentral lists this ribosomal RNA (500 nucleotides) under uncultured bacterium. Its description in RNAcentral is "partial 16S ribosomal RNA". It matches the Rfam family "Bacterial small subunit ribosomal RNA", at positions 30 to 523 of the family's 1533-position model. The record is from RNAcentral.
AUUGAACGCUGGCGGAAUGCUUUACACAUGCAAGUCGAACGGCAGCACGGGGGCAACCCUGGUGGCGAGUGGCGAACGGGUGAGUAAUAUAUCGGAACGUGCCCAGUCGUGGGGGAUAACGUAGCGAAAGUUACGCUAAUACCGCAUACGAUCUACGGAUGAAAGCGGGGGAUCGCAAGACCUCGCGCGAUUGGAGCGGCCGAUAUCAGAUUAGGUAGUUGGUGGGGUAAAGGCUCACCAAGCCAACGAUCUGUAGCUGGUCUGAGAGGACGACCAGCCACACUGGGACUGAGACACGGCCCAGACUCCUACGGGAGGCAGCAGUGGGGAAUUUUGGACAAUUGGCGCAAGCCUGAUCCAGCCAGUCCGCGUGCAGGACGAAGGCCUUCGGGUUGUAAACUGCUUUUGUACGGAACGAAAAAGCCUUGGCUAAUACCCAGGGUCCAUGACGGUACCGUAAGAAUAAGCACCGGCUAACUACGUGCCAGCCGCCGCCGUAA